This 2162-nucleotide long non-coding RNA is filed under the name Marmota monax (woodchuck). The record is from RNAcentral. Lineage: Eukaryota; Metazoa; Chordata; Mammalia; Rodentia; Sciuridae.
AAAAAAAAUUUUGUAGGUGAACGCAAUAUCUUUUUAUUUGUUUUUUCUUUUUCUUUUUUUUAAUUUUAAUUUUAUUUAUGUGGCGCUGAGGAUCGAACCCAGGGCCUCACACGUGCAACAUGAGUGAGUGCUCUACCGCUGAGCCCCAGUCCCAGCCCCCCACACAAUAUCUUAUUUGAUCUCCUGACAGCUCUCUGUGACAUAUGAUUAUGAUUCCCAUUUUUAGAGAUGAAGAAAAUGGGGUUAAGUGCCUGCUCUUAGGUGAUACAGGUAGGCAUGGUGGAGGGAGGACCAUUUCUUCUCAUCUCGAUGCCAGCAUCUGUCCUACUCUGCUUGGGGGUCCUGUUCCACUGUAGGCCUCCAUGUGUAAGUUGUCUUGGCUCUCUUUCUACCCACUGCUAUUGUGCUGCCUCCAACAAGUGAUGGAAUGGAUCGUUGCUGCAUCCCAGGUGAUGAAGGAGGAGAGGCCGAGGACCAGGAUGCAGUCUUCUCUCCUAUAACCACAGACUCUGCGAUGCAACCCAGCUAGGGAUGUGAGGAUUCCACCCAUCACUCGUGGGACUUUUGUACUGGCUGGCUCUGGAGUGCUCCAGGAAUGUCAUGCCUUUUAUCAGAAGGCAGUCAGCCUCAUGUGAGAAAGACUGGGAUAGCCAAACCAAAUAGAGAAUGACUCUCCCUCUGAUGUGUGAACUGAUCAAUAUAAUCAAUAAGUCAUAGACAUAGAUAACAGAUAAGCAACAGACAUAGUUUAUAGAUAAGUUCAUCAGGAGUAAGCCUAAGUAAUAGUAAUAAAAUCAUGAAACUGUAAGACAUAGGAUUUAAGCCACAGGAAAAAGAUGGAACAGCGAAAGGUGAUAAGUCAGUAUGCCAGUACAGUUAUAGAUACAUAUAGGCUGAUUGGUUAGUAUAGAUAUAGACAAGGUUAAGUCAAUAUAGUUGUGAACAAUUGUAUUAGCUUGAUCAUGUAGACAUAAGGCUUAUAGAGUAAUAAAAUGAUGAGUAAAUGAGAUAACUGCAAGCAUCAAAUAAGUUACUGGUCCUGGGAUAGAGGGAAUGGAGUCACUGUGGCUACGCGAACAAAAAGUGUGGCUGUCAGGACUCCGUCUUAGCUGUUCUGACUCCGUCUUAGUUUUCCUGUUACUGCUCCUGUGAAGAGGGAACUGCAUGGCCCAUUUCUGAGAAACAGAAACGAAAGCUGUCUUAUAAAAAAAUUGUUUUUCUGUUUUGUACCCCACAGAAUGUACCCAACUCGGGAUAUGGUGGUGGUGGUGAGCUGGGUUUGAGUACACUUAUGGGUCUACAUAACUUUGAAAUAGAUUAUCACCCUGAGCAAGCUGAAACUCAGGAUAGGUUGUCUAAAACUUUUUUGGACCAAGAUGCGGUUAAGCUAACUGCUUUUUUAGCUUCUGUAACUUGCUUGCUUACUAACUGGAAAAUUCCAGUCCUCCUUUGGUCCCACUGAUUACUGUUUUUUUUUUUUUUUUUAGAUUUUUUUUAGUUGUAGUUGGACACAACAUCUUUAUUUAAUUAAUUUAUUUUUUACGUGGUGCUGAAGAUCGAACCCAGCGCCUCGCAUAUGCUAGGCACACGCUCUACCACUCAGCCCCAGCCCCAGCCCCAGCCUUGAUUACUGUUUUAACUUCUGUGAUUGGCUUGCUUACAUGAUGCUAAACAAGCCACUGAGUUGUGGUGUUCGUCCUUAUAUUCCCAAGACACAGGCCAGGAAGCUGCUGUUCUCCCACAGAGCAUCAGUCUCUAUGGAUGGGUGACAGUCCCUGGCCAGGUAAAUAAAGCUCUCUUUUGUUUGAAUUUGUUUUCUGAGGUGGCUCCCCAUGACAUCUUGAUUUUUUUUUGUAGUUGUUGAUGAACCUUUAUUUAAUUUAUUUAUACUUGGUGCUGAGAAUCAAACCCAGUGCCUCCCACAUGCUAGGCAAGCACUCUACCAUUGAUCUACAACCCCAGUCUCCUCCUUUGAUUAUAAAAAAAUCUUAGACAUACAGAAAAUUAGAAAGGAUAGUAUAUCCAUUGUCCUACCUAGACUCCUAAUUCUUACUAUCUUUUCCAUGUCUGUUCUGUCAAUCUUUUAAACUAUUUAUAUACUGUAUUUUGACUCACUCCUAAGUAGUUCAUAGCCUGUAUUAAAUACAAGUACAUGUUCCUAU